UACGUAGGGGGCUAGCGUUGUCCGGAUUUAUUGGGCGUAAAGAGCGUGUAGGCGGCCAGGUAGGUCUGGUGUGAAAACUCGAGGCUUAACCUCGAGAUGUCAUCGGAAACCAUCUGGCUAGAGUCCGGAAGAGGAGAGUGGAAUUCCUGGUGUAGCGGUGAAAUGCGCAGAUAUCUGGAGGAAUACCGGUGGCGAAGGCGGCGUUCUGGACUGCAACUGACACUGAUGAACGAAAGCCAGGGGAGCAAACGGG
RNAcentral lists this ribosomal RNA (253 nucleotides) under uncultured bacterium. Its description in RNAcentral is "partial 16S ribosomal RNA". It matches the Rfam family "Bacterial small subunit ribosomal RNA", at positions 524 to 776 of the family's 1533-position model. The record is from RNAcentral.